This 253-nucleotide ribosomal RNA is filed under the name uncultured bacterium. RNAcentral describes it as "partial 16S ribosomal RNA". It matches the Rfam family "Bacterial small subunit ribosomal RNA", at positions 524 to 776 of the family's 1533-position model. The record is from RNAcentral.
UACGUAGGGUGCAAGCGUUAAUCGGAGUUACUGGGCGUAAAGCGUGCGCAGGCGGUGAUGUAAGACAGGUGUGAAAUCCCCGGGCUUAACCUGGGAACUGCAUUUGUGACUGCAUCGCUGGAGUGCGGCAGAGGGGGAUGGAAUUCCGCGUGUAGCAGUGAAAUGCGUAGAUAUGCGGAGGAACACCGAUGGCGAAGGCAAUCCCCUGGGCCUGCACUGACGCUCAUGCACGAAAGCGUGGGGGGCAAACAGG